CCCCAGCGCCGGCGUCCCGCCCGCGUCCUCCGGAGCAUUCCGGUCGUGCCGCAGCCGGGCCGCGGCCCAGGACGGGCGGGACGCGCAGACCUCGGGCAGGGCGGCCGGGCGGGGUCCUCACGAGCUCCGCCGGGGUCGCCCUCGGCCAAGGGAGGUGGGACAACACGGUGGCGGGGGCGGUCUCCUUGGAAAGGGCGUCCCGGGCGAGCCGCGCGCCCUUUGGGAGCCUGAGCCGACCCGGGGAACGGGAACGGCCCGCAGUUGCUGGGGAGAGCGGAUUCACAGCCGCCGUUACUCGGCCGUGCCUCGUCGAAAGGCCAUCUCUAGCGGCAGUUUGAGAGCCGCGGUUCGUUCCACAAGUGGCUGGAGCGGCCUCGCGGGGCCGGAGGCGCGGGCGAGAGGCGAGGGGCCCGGCGGGCGCGCAGCCCUGCGGCGCAACGGAAAGUCGCGAACCGGGCGCGAGAAACAGGCCCACGGCAGGUGGCUCAGCAGCCACCAGAUGCGUCCCCCACGCCACGGUGUGUUGAGACCGCGCCAGCGACUGUGCCAGAUCCUGAGGAGGCGGGGCGGUUUCCUGUUGCACCGCAGCUGCUCAGCGCCGGAGGCUGCGCAGUAGAUGUGAACACGCAACAAAGAGGAGCUCUCUGGGUCACCUGCCCAUCCUCCCAGCCUGUCUAGAAUUACAAAGGUGUAUCUGAGGAGGAGCCCUGGCUGUAGCCCUCAAAGUGAAGAGGAAGACAAGGCAAAGGUUGGAGUCAUUCCUCCAGGUCACCUAGGGGACCCACUCCUCCGGCAUCUGACAGCACAGUAGGAAGCCCGUCGCUGCUAGAGUCUGAAAAAUAGCAGUGAUGAGAUCUCACAGUCGUGAGCAUUUUCAGACACAUUCACUGCUGGGAUCCUGGCAACAGCCCCCAGGGGAUGAGGAUGAGAUCAUUGUUCCUCUGCAGAUGAGGAAACUGAGGGCUCGUGGAGGGUCUGGAGGCCUCUAAGGCCCUGCUGGACUGGCCCCUGCCAGUCUACCAGCCCCACCUGGCCUUGGUCCAACACACUGGCCUUCCUUCACCGUCCCAAAGUGCCACAUACCUUCCCACCCAGACCCUGCUCAGGCCUGACAGACCUUCAGUGUGCAGUGCCCCCACCCCUGCCUUGGCUUGCUGAUUGCUACUCAUCCUUAUGCGCCUGGGAAUCCCCUGGGAUCUUGUUAAAAAGCAGAUUUUGAUUUAGUAGAGCUGUGUGGGGCCUGAGAUUCUGCAUUUCCAACAUGUGCCCAGAGCUCAUCUUCUAUCUGAGAGCCACUCUGAGUAGCAAGGCUGAGGCUGGCAUGAGCCUCGCUUUGUCUGGACAGUGUCAGGAAACUCCGGGGACAGUUGCACGAUACCCUUCCUUGGUUCGUAGUUAUAACGAAGUGUUCAUUGUGCUUUCCUGGCUCCAAUGUAAUCUCCAUGAAAUCAGGGACUGUCACUGUCUCCUUCAUAUUUGUAUUCCCAGUGCCAUACACAGAGCCUGGCAUAUGAUAAAUGCUCACUACAUGUCUGUUGAGUGAGUGAGAGAGUGAGUGAGAGAGAGAGACAGAAAGCUAACACUGGUCUUCCCACAGAAAAUGCUGUUCCUUGAUUUCCAAGGAUGGGACACUGGGGAAAAUUUCACAAUCCAUCAUCAAAUCCAGAUUUUACUGGAGACCCCAAAUCCCAGGCAUUAAAAGGAGAAAAUAAAAAAUGUUUGUGGUGAUUAUCUCUCCA
This is a non-coding RNA of Microcebus murinus (gray mouse lemur), 1739 nucleotides long. NCBI's taxonomy places the organism in Eukaryota, Metazoa, Chordata, Mammalia, Primates, Cheirogaleidae. The record is from RefSeq and is a predicted model, not a curated record.